This 1199-nucleotide long non-coding RNA is filed under the name Salmo salar (Atlantic salmon). RNAcentral describes it as "lncRNA (ENSSSAG00000112847.1)". Lineage: Eukaryota; Metazoa; Chordata; Actinopteri; Salmoniformes; Salmonidae. The record is from RNAcentral.
CUAUCUAUCUAUCUAUCUAUCUAUCUAUCUAUCUAUCAUCUAUCUAUCUAUCUAUCUAUCUAUCUAUCUAUCUAUCUAUCUAUCUAUCUAUCUAUCUAUCUAUCUAUCUAUCUAUCUAUCUAUCUAUCUAUCUAUCUAUCUAUCUAUCUAUCUAUCUAUCUAUCUAUCUAUCUAUCUAUCUAUCUAUCUAUCUAUCUAUCUAUCUAUCUAUCUAUCUUCUUGUCUUUUAAACUCUCUCUUGGUAUAUCUCUCUAUGGUUUUUGACAUUUCCAACCUCAUCUCAUUGUUUGACGCGUGUGUGUAUGCGUGUGUGUGUGUGUGUGUGUGUGUGUGUCAGACCUGAAUUGCUGCUAUGAAGGGAGUGGUUGGUAAAAGCAGCAGUCUUCUCUGUUAUUGGUUCAAUUCUUUCCUUGUUUUUGAAGUUCUUCUUCUGUAGUUUUGGUUCAGUUCACUAUCUAGAUUUAAGGAACUAGUUUUUGUUUGUUGAUUUGUUAUGGAGACUUGACGUUUCCUUUAUUAGGAAAUUCCUUUAUUUUUUUUCCCAAUGGUGAAUACGCUGUGAAUAAGUUGAUAAGGUGUGAUCAUGACUGUCUCGUUUAGAAACAGUCCUCUGAUAUGAAGAGGGUGCCAUUUGUGCCGCAGCCCCGAGGUUGGUAUGAGAGCUUCUCAGAUGGUUCUUAGUUUGAUUUAUCAAUGUGAUUAUUGAUUACUUAUCGGCCCUUGAGAGUGUGGGACCAGGUGUUAGUGGUUGUGUGUGUUUGUGUGUGAAUUUGAUGACAUGAGCAGAGAAAAAUGAACUUUAUUUCACAACAACCACGUUGCACUCCUGACUGUCAGGGGGACGCACCUCCACGCUUUGGGCACAAGGACACAGGAAAUGGUAUGUUUAGCCAAUGGGAAGGCCCAUCUAGGCAGAAUACAGUAUUUGUAGCCAAUCAGUCAGCCCCAUGUAGGCUGGGUUCUGUAUGUCUAGCCAAUGGGAAAGGCCCAUGUAGAAAGUAUAUGAGGGCAGGUACGGGACAGAGACACACCUGACUAGAGGUGUGGUCAAGCAGGUUGAAAGUAUGUAUACACGGCAUCAUUCACAGCUCAGAGCAUUACUGUAUGUAUUUACCACAGUCAUUAGCUACUGUAUGUAUUUACCACAGUCAUUAGCUACUGUAUGUAUUUACCACGUCAUGUAUUUACUUCACUGAUAU